GGGUGUUUGGUCUAGUGGUAUGAUUCUUACUUUGGGUGCAAGAAGUCGUGAGUUCGAUUUUCAUAACACCCC
This 72-nucleotide transfer RNA is filed under the name Ipomoea nil (Japanese morning glory). It matches the Rfam family "tRNA". Rfam says of the family: Transfer RNA (tRNA) molecules are approximately 80 nucleotides in length. Lineage: Eukaryota; Viridiplantae; Streptophyta; Magnoliopsida; Solanales; Convolvulaceae. The record is from Rfam by way of RNAcentral.